RNAcentral lists this ribosomal RNA (460 nucleotides) under uncultured bacterium. Its description in RNAcentral is "partial 16S ribosomal RNA". It matches the Rfam family "Bacterial small subunit ribosomal RNA", at positions 338 to 795 of the family's 1533-position model. The record is from RNAcentral.
CCUACGGGCGGCAGCAGUGAGGAAUAUUGGUCAAUGGACGAGAGUCUGAACCAGCCAAGUAGCGUGAAGGAUGACUGCCCUAUGGGUUGUAAACUUCUUUUAUAUGGGAAUAAAAUGUUCCAAGUGUGGGAUUUUGUACGUACCAUAUGAAUAAGGAACGGCUAACUCCGUGCCAGAAGCCGCGGUAAUACGGCGGAUCCGAGCGUUAUCCGGAUUUAGUGGGUUUAAAGGGAGCGUAGGUGGAUUGUUAAGUCAGUUGUGAAAGUUUGCGGCUCAACCGUAAAAUUGCAGUUGAUACUGGCAGUCUUGAGUACAGUAGAGGUGAGCGGAAUUCGUGGUGUAGCGGUGAAAUGCUUAGAUAUCACGAAGAACUCCGAUUGCGAAGGCAGUUCACUGGACUGCAACUGACACUGAGGCUCGAAAGUGUGGGUAUCAAACAGGAUUAGAUACCCUGGUAGUC